This is a long non-coding RNA of Denticeps clupeoides (denticle herring), 2608 nucleotides long. NCBI's taxonomy places the organism in Eukaryota, Metazoa, Chordata, Actinopteri, Clupeiformes, Denticipitidae. The record is from Ensembl.
AUGGGGGCGGGCAAUAAAAUAGGGCAUAGGGUAAAUAUCAGUAUAUUUAUAGAGUCAUUUCCAAACAGCUCGUACCUCAUAUUCCAUAGAUCCACUUCAUCGGAGGAGGGAGGGAGUGUUUGUGGGAGAGGGAGGGAGAAGCGAGGAGGAGAGGAAGCAGCUGGUGGCGUGACCGGGCGCCGUGGCAGAGGCGUCGCCGCUCCUCUCCGAGAACACCUGGAACGUCCCGCUCCACUCGCAGGCCCCGCUCUCCCCCCUGACCAUCCUCAGUCCUGGAGACGAAUUGCCCCCACAGGGGGCCGGCGGAGGGCGCGUGCUGCGGAAGCUGCCUCUCUCCGCCGGCGGACUCCGUUCCCCAGCUCAUCAUGCCCUGCGAAGCCAGUGUGGAGUUCUGCCAAGACAGGCGGGACGGCUGCUGCUCCACAGACAGGUGAGGGCUGCCACACUGAGGAAUUAAAAUGAUGUCUGUGUGUUUGGUCACUGGGCGACUACGGGAGAUCACUGUUGUCGGCACUACGUAAGUUCGAGUUGUGUGACAUUUAGUGACACUUCCCUAUGUUUUCCCAUUCGUACAUGACAUGUCCUUCCCCGUGUGUAUAUCUGCAUCUGCACCCACGUGCAUUAGUGCAUCUUCAGUAACUCCUACUCACCCUUACACCCCUGCGCUACAUUUUGGCUCUGCUGUGUGACCCCAAUCCCCGCUUUAAGACCAGUGGUAGCAUGAAACGGGCCAUGUGGCUUGCCACAGUGCCUGGUUUAGCUUGUUAAUGUCUUACCGCGAGGAUCAGGAUGGGGUGGACUGGAUUAAAGUGCUACUGACCAACACAGGAAUAUUAAAGAACAUGGCAGGUGGCACAUGGAACAUAAUGAGGAUAUAAAGACAAAUGCGCUUGUCUAUGAUGCAGACAAAAGAUGGUUUAAUAUCUUGUCCUUUUAGGAAAGCUCGUAAGGCCAAUACACAUGAAUAAAAAAUGUUGUACAAGUCAGAAUGAAAUGUUCUUCAAGCCAUUAUAAGAGUAGUCUGGCCAGAGAUUUCUCCUCUGAUACAUCUACAGAAUUUAUCAGACAUCCUAAUCCAGAGCGAUUUACAAUCAGUAGUUUCAGGGACAGUCAACCAGGAAGAAUUUUAGGGUUAAGUGUCUUGCUCAGGGACACAAUGGUAGUAAGUGGGGUUUUAACCUGGGUCUUCUGGUUCAUAGGCGAGCGUGUUACCCACCAGGCCACUACCACUCCACUCUGAUCCCUUGUAUGUCUUACUUCUGCCCCCCAAGUUGCUUCUUUUAAACACGUCAAAGCUCUUCUAUGCUCCAGUCCUGCUGCACCAGGGGACAUUGGGUGAUAUCUGUGCAAUUUGUUGUAAAUUGUAGAAUUGUUACAUCUGUGGAUGUAUUUCAAGCCACAUUUAGUCAUGCAAUUGUAUAUUUAAGAAUUCUGGCUGCCAAGGGAUGCGACACAAGAUUUUAUUAUCAUCAAAGCGGAGGAUGAGCAUCCAGGAUUUAUAGGACAAUUGCUCAUUCCCAUAAGAGCCGGAAAGACACAGACACAGACACAGGCCUAUACGUUGGAAGAGGAUUCUGCUGUCAGACCGACACUCAGACCUUCAGGACCUUUUAAUCCUGGUGCAUGGUCACUGUAGAAAAUAAACAGAUUUGGAAGGACGCCACAUGGCUUUAUAAAAAUCAUCCUUCUCACUGGGUUUCUGGUAACAAGUGGAAACUGAGAUUAGAGAAAUAAAAGCACACAGGGCAGGUGGCUGGUGGAAGCCAGAUAUUCUGAUGGUUCUUUUUCUCCAGCUUCAGGGAAAAGGAGAAGGAGAAGUUUAAUUUAAAGUGUCCUCUGUCACCUGGAAUAUUAUCUAUUUAUAUUCUAUCAUGGUCAGUUAAAGGUGCAUUAGGGAAACAUACUUCUGCAUCUCAAAUAUUCUUAUAUUUAAAUAUAAAAAUAUCCAACUUAAAAAAUAUAUAUCUUCAUCAAUAUACAAUCAAUUCUUGGUUUUUGAAUUAAAUUACAAAAACAAAUGACCUUUUUUCCCAACCAGAUUUAUUUUCAGAUGGUCUAGUGUAGUACCGAGAUAUACUAAACCUCUUCAUGUUUACAUGGAGCAGCAUCGACACAACUGUAGAACUUCCAGCAAACCAGAUGCUUCUUGUUUCUGUGUUUGAUCUUAUCUGCUAUCCGUUGCACCAUUAGCCUACAGCCCAGAGAGAUGGUGUGUGAUGAGUAAAAUCUAAUCUGCUGUGAUGGAGCAAAUAGUUUUCUAUCAGCGAAUCAGAUCGCAGUGCAGUAGUGUGUACAGGAAAUAGCUGGUGUGUGUGUGUGGAGAGAAAUAAGGCCAUUAUGGGGGAUAAAAGAACGGGCGUGUACAUGUGAAUUUGCUGGUGUUUGUGUGGUGUAAUGGGGGGAGCAGCAUCUGUCAUACCGACCUGCUCUGGAUGACCGGGCGUGGCAGCGUCCUGUUGGAUAACACUGCUGCUGCUGCUGUUGCAGAUGAAUGACUGGACAUAUGAAAGUGACUGUAAUUAGAGCUGGCUUUGCCGAAUCACUGUAGGUGUACAUAAUCUGCUCAGUCCAAUUUCCCGAAAUACAAGAUUUUGACGUCAAAAUGUUA